Molecule: ribosomal RNA, 800 nt
Filed under: uncultured bacterium
Lineage: Bacteria
Description: partial 16S ribosomal RNA
Rfam family: Bacterial small subunit ribosomal RNA
Source: RNAcentral
AGAGUUUGAUCCUGGCUCAGAACGAACGCUGGCGGCGUGGCUAACCCAUGCAAGUCGGGCGCGAAUUCCGGGGAAACUCGGAUAGUAGCGCGGCGGAAGGGUGAGUAACGCAUGGAUAACGUACCCCGGGCACGAGGAUAGUCCACCGAAAGGUGGAGCAAGACUCGAUGAGACCACGCGGAGGCAUCUCCGAGAGGUCAAAGGAUGGGGACCCGCAAGGGCCUAUCGGCUUGGGAGCGGUCCAUGUCCCAUCAGCUAGUUGGUGAGGUAACGGCCCACCAAGGCUGCGACGGGUAGCCGGACUGAGAGGUCGACCGGCCACAUUGGCACUGAGACACUGGCCAGACUCCUACGGGAGGCUGCAGGGACGAAUAUUCCGCAAUGGGCGAAAGCCUGACGGAGCGACGCCGCGUGUGGGAGGAAGUCCUUCGGGAUGUAAACCACUGUCAGGGGUCGCCAAGCGAACGGCUUGAACAAAGCCGCGAGUUGAGGAGCCCCAGAGGAAGCCACGGCUAACUUCGUGCCAGCAGCCGCGGUAAGACGAAGGUGGCGAGCGUUGUUCGGAAUUACUGGGCUUAAAGCGCACGUAGGCGGCCCGUUAAGUGCCUUGUGAAAUCCCUCGGCUUAACCGAGGAACGGCUCGGCAUACUGGCGGGCUUGAGGCAAGUAGAGGCGCGAGGAACUCUUGGUGGAGCGGUGAAAUGCGUAGAUAUCAAGAGGAACGCCGGCGGUGAAGACGUCGCGCUAGGCUUGUCCUGACGCUGAGGUGCGAAAGCCAGGGGAGCAAACGGGAUUAGAUA